Molecule: ribosomal RNA, 327 nt
Filed under: Triticum aestivum (bread wheat)
Lineage: Eukaryota; Viridiplantae; Streptophyta; Magnoliopsida; Poales; Poaceae
Description: partial small subunit ribosomal RNA
Source: RNAcentral
AUGGCCGACGCCGCCUUCGCCCACUUCUCCGAGGUCCUUGGCAGCACCUCUGAGCGCGAUAUCACCCUUGAUCUACAUGCUCUCCAUGUGCCACAGUUUGACUUACUAGAGUUGGAUGCGCCCUUCACCGAUGAAGAGAUUUGGAGCGCCGUCAAGAGCCUGCCGGCCUGCAAGGCGCCGGGCCCCGAUGGCUUCACUUCCGAGUUCCUUGUUGCUUGCUGGGAUACGAUCAAGCAAGACUUCCGCGAGGCUUUUGAAAAAUUCUACACCAUAAACGGCAGAAGCUUUCAAAAGCUCAACGAGGCCCUCCUCACCUUGCUUCCGUAG